CCUACGGGUGGCAGCAGUGAGGAAUAUUGGUCAAUGUGCGAGAGCCUGAACCAGCCAAGUCGCGUGAGGGAGUACUGCCCUAUGGGUUGUAAACCUCUUUUGUCGGGGAGCAAAAGCCGGACGUGUCCGGCUGUGAGAGUACCCGAAGAAAAAGCCUCGGCUAACUCCGUUCCAGCAGCCGCGGUAAUACGGAGGAUGCGCGCGUUAUCCGGAUUUUUUGGGUUUAAAGGGUGGGCAGGCGGGUUUUUAAGUCAGCGGUAAAAUCGUGGGGCUCAACCCCCUCCAGCCGUUGAAACUGGGGAUCUAGAGUGUGCGAGAGGUAUGCGGAAUGCGUGGUGUAGCGGUGAAAUGCAUAGAUAUCACGCAGAACCCCGAUUGCGAAGGCAGCAUACCGGUGCACAACUGACGCUCAGGCACGAAAGCGUGGGUAUCGAACAGGAUUAGAUACCCCUGUAGUC
This 458-nucleotide ribosomal RNA is filed under the name uncultured bacterium. Its description in RNAcentral is "partial 16S ribosomal RNA". It matches the Rfam family "Bacterial small subunit ribosomal RNA", at positions 338 to 795 of the family's 1533-position model. The record is from RNAcentral.